Olea europaea var. sylvestris is the source of this 672-nucleotide long non-coding RNA. RefSeq lists it as uncharacterized. The record is from RefSeq and is a predicted model, not a curated record. The transcript is spliced from 3 exons. Lineage: Eukaryota; Viridiplantae; Streptophyta; Magnoliopsida; Lamiales; Oleaceae.
UUUUAUUAAAUUAUGUAGAUAAAUGAUGGAAAUUGUGUGGAUCUAACGCUCCUACUUUGCAAAAGACAGCUGUUCGAAUUCUUGGUCAAGCAGUUUCUUCUUCGAGAUGUGAAAGGAAAUGAAGUGUCUUUGAACGUAUUCACAGGAAAAAAAGAAAUAGAUUGGAGCAUCAAAGACUCAAUGAUCUUGUCUACGUUACGUAUAAUUUGCAAUUGAAGGAUAGACGUUAUUAUAAGAAGAGAUCUUAUGAUCCAGUUGAUUAUGAGUGUAUUGACAAAAUAAACUUUCGGAUAGAGGAAGACGUGCCACCACAAGAUUUCAAGUAUGAAGACCUAGAUAAUGCUAUUUAUGAAGAAAACGCAAUUUCCAACGUUAAGGAUCUUGAAAUUGACGAUAAUGUUCAAGAUGACAAUGAAAAUAAGGAUGAGAUUAAUACUCAAGAAAUGGGAGAUUUAGACGCACUAGAUGUUAUUCAUCGUUUUGAUAGUUCAAGUGAUUGUGGAAGUGAUCAAGGGUUUUACGCUUAUAGAUGAAAAUGAUAAAGGCGAAAUUUAACUGUUUAAUCUUUUAUGUUUAGUGUACUUUUUAGUUCCUUUUAUUACUUGAAAUUUUUUAUUGGUGAUAGUUGAUGUGAAACUUUUAAAUUUUAGCUAUUUUAGUUUUCAUGUUAUU